GCCUGUUUGGCUCAGUGGAUAGAGCGUCAGCCUGAGGACUGAAGGGUUCCGGCUCAAUUCUGGACAAGGGCA
This 72-nucleotide transfer RNA is filed under the name Myotis davidii. It matches the Rfam family "tRNA". Rfam says of the family: Transfer RNA (tRNA) molecules are approximately 80 nucleotides in length. Their secondary structure includes four short double-helical elements and three loops (D, anti-codon, and T loops). The record is from Rfam by way of RNAcentral. Lineage: Eukaryota; Metazoa; Chordata; Mammalia; Chiroptera; Vespertilionidae.